CAGCCGCCACGGGAAUACGUAGGGUGCGAGCGUUAAUCGGAAUUACUGGGCGUAAAGCGUGCGCAGGCGGUUCGUUAAGACAGAUGUGAAAUCCCCGGGCUUAACCUGGGAACUGCAUUUGUGACUGGCGAGCUAGAGUAUGGCAGAGGGGGGUAGAAUUCCACGUGUAGCAGUGAAAUGCGUAGAGAUGUGGAGGAAUACCGAUGGCGAAGGCAGCCCCCUGGGCCAAUACUGACGCUCAUGCACGAAAGCGUGGGGAGCAAACAGGAUUAGAUACCCCUGUAGUCCCUGUCUCUUAUAC
RNAcentral lists this ribosomal RNA (301 nucleotides) under uncultured bacterium. RNAcentral's name for it is "partial 16S ribosomal RNA". It matches the Rfam family "Bacterial small subunit ribosomal RNA", at positions 509 to 807 of the family's 1533-position model. The record is from RNAcentral.